CUGCAACAUAAGAUUUGCUUUAGGAUGUGCUGAAGCCAAAAACAGCAGAACUGUUCAACUAUCAGUGGACUAGGUCUUCUAUAUGGAACACAAGAGACCGAAAUUUGUUUGAUCAAAACACUAAAUUCUCCAAAGUAACAAAUGAUUCAAGUACAAAUAAAGGAGAACGGAGAACCAGAUUAAUUGUUGUAUAUUCAAUUGUUACAGUUGAUGGUCAGCAUUCUGCAUCAUGAAGCCUAAUUGAAAUUGAAUCAUUUACGAAAUAAUUUUGUAAUAUUGUCACGGGGCUUCCUUCUCAUGAUCCAAGCUUCAUUUUUUAUUAUUUUGGUGAAAAAAACUUUGACUUCCUUGUGUGAUGGAUGAUCUAAUAUUGAUCAAUUAAAAGGGAUAAGAACAUUAAAGCUACACUAUGAGAAUAGCCUUUAAAGCUUAUAGCACCAUAGUUCUUCUUUACUCCAAUAAAAGUAGAUGGCAUCAAUGGUAUAAGGCAUGACAUAGUUGCAGCAAAAUUUUUUGGUCAACCAAAUGCAACUUCCUUAGUGGAUCACCAACAUGUGAUGAAGUAGAUGUAAACUAAAAUGUCUUCACUAUAAUAGACAUGGACAAGUUUUGAGGUGCACAUAUAAGCACAUUCAACAUGAAUGCCAAGUGCCAACCUUCACAAAAUUUGGAUAAAUGAGUUUGUUAAGUUUAAAAAAGUAUUCUCUGGCACAAAACUUUGUGCAUAUUUUUUUAAUGAGUUGUGUUGUUAAACAGUUAAAGAGAACAAUAAAUCUAUGCAAAAUGGUCAUAUGUUUCAACCUAACAAAAUAAAGUUUUAAGAUUCUAAUCUAAGAAUAAAUGCCAGUUCCUAUAGUUCAGGCAAGGGAAUAGAUGAAGUUUUAGUCUUCUAGUCCCUCAUUUCUUCAUAUGUGGCUGGAUGCUUUAUGAAGAAUUCGAUAAUCAAUAUACUAAAAAUCUAUAAUUGGAAGAAAAAUUAGCAUGAGACUAAGACAAGCAUUAAUACAAUUGAAUGAUGACUUACCCAAUUUUGUGCCAACUAAUACCAAUGGGAUGCCAGGGGCAAAAUGCUGGAGUUCAGGGAUCCACUGGACAGUGCAUACAAAUUAGAGAACAAAAGAGAAAUCUGCAAGACAUCAAAAGUACCAAAUUCAGAGAUACAAGCACUGAAGCAUACCUUCUUCAGCACAUUCUCAUAGCUUGCGCGACUAACUAAAGAAAAAGCCAAGACAAAGACAUCUGCCCCCCUGUAGCUCAAGGGCCUCAGCCUGUUGUAAUCCUCUUGCCCUAAGGAAGAUAAUGGAAACAAAUACAACAUAACAACCUUUUUCUUUUGACAAAUAUCAUUCUAUCAGCCAAACCAGAAAACAAUCCCCAUCAUCAUUCAUUUGAACAAAUUUGAUUGAUACGUCCUGUGGUUUAUUGAAAUUGCACUACCUUUUUAAGAUUUACACUUUGCAAUAACUCUUCUUAUGGGGAUACAUGGUGUAAUGUAUUUCAAACAAUUAAGAGAAAUUACUAUAGCGGCUAAAAAGGCAGGAGUAUUGUGUGCUAUCUCAAGAAACCACAUGGGGUGUCACUAUAAUUUGUUUGUAUUUUUUUUAAAAUGUUUGUGUAUAACUGAACACCAACCUUAAAAAAAAACACUAUAACAAGUUUCAUACCAGCUGUAUCCCAAAGGCCUAAAUUGACAGUUAUGCCUUCAACAACCACAUUUGCACUGAAAUUAUCAAACACAGUGGGGAUAUAGUCCUGAUGAUCAACAUAGGGGGAAGCAAAAUCAGAUAAACCCAAUGGUGAAGCUUCACAAGAUAACAACUGGGUUACUUUCUGCACUUAGCACACACAUAAAACAGUUUUCUUUACUCAAAUUAAGAUGAUUUCAACAGAACAGAGAAAAAUUCAGAAAGCACACAUACACACACACACACACAUAGUGGACAUUACAAAACAAAAAUAACAUCAAACGAUGGCAAUUCAAUAAAAAAAUGAUCUCUUGAAAACAAAAGAUGUGGAAGAAAGCAUCCACACCGUGGGGAAUUUGUUGCUGGUAUAGCAAAUGAGCAUGCAGGUCUUCCCUACAGCUCCAUCGCCAACGGUCACACACUUGAUGAAUCUUGGGGCAGUUGCAGCAGCCAUUGGAACAAGAAGAAAAGAAGAAACUUUCUCAGAAUAAUUUAAGCAAAACAAAACAGAAGUGGGGUUGUUUUGUUGUGUGUUGGAUUGUUAAAGAUUGAAGCUUUUUUUUGAUUGAACCAGAGACAGAUAGAGAGAGAAAGAGAGAGAGAGUGGCGGCACUUCACAUGAUUCUCACUCAUUCCCUCUUUUUUGUACCGGCCAAUUAUUUUUUUCCUUUUUAAUAUUAGUCUUUGCAAAUGCAAUAGUUUCCAACUCUGCAUUAAAAAAUGGAACUGGGUAUUUAAUUGGAUAAUAACAUGCGAAAAUACUUUUUCUACACUAUAAUGCAGAUUAAUUAAGAUUAGUUUGAAUACAAAUUAUUCUAGUUAUAUAUUACGAUUUAAAUGUAUGAAAUUUUAAGAAAAACGAACACUAACAUAUAUAUACACUAUCGCAAUUUUACUUCCUUUUGAAGUAGUACAUAUUUCCAAAUUGGAAGAAGUUUUUUUCUGAAAUUUAUAACUGGCUCUUUUAAUGAUAAGUUAUAGCAAACUCGUACAUCACAUGACUCGUAUGUAUUUAUUAACACAUAAGUGCCUUUCAUUACACAUUUUAUAUUUUUUUUAUAAAUUUUAAAAAAUUGAAAUAUAAAUUUUGUUUUAUUAUUAUAACUUUAUAAUAGGUGCAUUUAGAUCACUUUUAAACAAAGAUUAAAUUUAAAGGAAUGUCUUAAGUAUUAAUAAACAUUUACAAGUCACGUGAUUGGUUUUGAUUUGUUCAUAGACAAAAAUGAUAGAUGUGGAAAAAAAUAAGUGAAAAAGGAAAACAAUAGUUGUUAUGAACCGUCUUUAACGUUUGUGAAUAACUUCCUUACGUUUUGCAUUAAAAAAAAAAAAAAAACUUUCUUACGUUGGUGUUUGAUUAUUUUAAAUUAGGGAGAUUUUAAAAAAUGAAUAAUGGAUUAGGUUCAGUAGUUUUAAACUCAUAUUGAGUGUUGAGGAUGACAAUUAUUUGUAUAUAUAUAUAUAUAUAUAUAUAUAUGUGUGUAUAUUCAUUUUUUCAAAAUAAAAUUUCAGUUCAACUAUUGUAUAUAUAGAGAAAAAUUCUUGCUGCAAGAAUUAACUCAAAUAUGUUGUAGAUAUUUUUUUUUUCUAUUUUAAUAUAAUUAUUUCUUAUAAAGGAUGUAAGUUGUCUUCGAUAAAAUUUAUCAAUUACCUUUAAUGUUGUUCUUGAAAUUUUAUUCAACUUAUUUAAUUAAAUUGUUUUGCGAAGGAUUUUAUGUUAUCAUAGUAAGUUUGUAGCAGAAAAAAGGUAUUUUGUAUCAAAUAACUAGUGACGAAAUAAUUAUUGUUUUAAAAUAAAAAAUAGUAAAAAAUAAAAAUUAUACUAUAUUUUUAUUAUCUUCUUUUAGAAUUAGUAUUCGGUGUGAAGUUGGUGCAUUUAUUAUUCAUACGCGGCAUGGGCCCAUGAUAAGAGUGUUUGGUGGUCCAACCCGCUUCAAGUCCUCAACAGCGUUGGAUUGGAGGUAACAUACGUCCUUGCAUUUAUUAUUACUAUUAUUAUAACUAUGAACUAUCAAUUUAUUAUUAUUUUAUUUAAUUUUAUUCUGUAUUUAAUUAUUAAUUAGAAAUCACUAUAAAUAUUAAGUUUUAAAUUAAUUAUUAUUACAAAAAUAAUAAUCUUAUCAUAUGUCAUUUACUUAUGAAUUAAUGCUUUUUAAUUAAUUAAUUUGACAUGCUUGGUUGCGUUUUUGUGUUUGAAUCUUGCAUAAAUUAUUACGGGCCUAUUCUUUUAAAACAAAUAUGAUAGGUACAUAUGAAAAAAAUUAACAAGAGGUUUUUACAUUGGCAAUCACAUCUUUUUAGGAAAAAUAUUUUUCUAAUCAAUUAAAUAUCUUUAUUCUGUAUAAAAAUUUAGUAGGGUUAAUUAAAAAUAUAUUUUAAAUAAAAGUAUGAUGUAAAAAUAAUUUUCUAUAAUUGAUUUGCCUAGGUCAUAGACCACGAAUGUCCACCAACUCACUAGAUUAGGUACUAAUUCUGCUUACGAUGCAUGAUUGUCGUUGGUUCAAGAGAAUUUUACAUACCAUGAAUAUUGAAUAUGAGUUUUUCCACUAAAUAAAUUGUUCCUACUCAUAUGAACCCAGUGAAACCUUACAUUACUGUGCCAAUCCUUUAGGUUUUUUAUAAUUGAUACUGAAAAAUUAAUUUAGGGGGGUGUAUUGGAUUAAGAUUUCAAAGGAUUUUAAAAGACUUUUUUAUGAUUAAAAAGUCUUGUGGUAUUCAAUCAAGACUUUUAUAAAAUAUAAACAAAUCUUGUGGUAUUCAAUUAAGACAAUAAAGAUUUUUUUUUCAGGGCAACAAAAUCUGUUGGUAUUCAAUUGAGAUUUCUUACCACUUUUAAAAUGUCUUUUGGUAUUCAAAAGUAAAUAGAUUUUGAUGGAUUCUUUUGUGGAAUGGAUUUUGAGAGACUUUUUAGUUAGAAAUACACAUAAAAUACUCCUCCAACAAUCUCACCCAAACCCUUGAGACUUUUCAUAAUCUUCCAAAGACUUUUUCUUCUCCUGCCGAACAAGACACAAACCACUACCAGGUUCAUUCUCUUACAACUUUUCAAUCAAUUUUACCUAUUUUUUUAAUGGCAAUCGAUAGUCAAUAUUGUUCAUACUAUAUGUAUAUUACGCAAAUCAAAAGAAAAGGGUGCUGCAUAUGCUCCAAUACACCCCCCUCCCCUCUAUUUCUUGAAAAAUUAUUUGAAUUAUAUAAAAAUUGUUUUGUAAUAAAUUUACACACACAUAUAUUGAACACUUUAUUGAUAUUUUUUUAUCACAUCAUAUCAUUUAUUGUACUUAUAUUUUUUCUUCUUUUUUCUUUUUUUAAAUAACAUUGUGAUUUCCAAUAAUUAUUUUUUGUAGAACUUUAUUUUUUAUAUCUAAGUGUCUAGUAGAAGGCGUGUACAAUAUAUUUCCUAAGUUUAACCUUUAAAACUUUUUUUUUUAAUAAUUGUCCGAAGUGAAACAAAUGGGCAAACUUUGGAGCUCUUAGAAUAGACUGCAAUACUCCACAUGCCGUGACAUAACUUAGGGAAUUAUUAUGCACACCCCAACUUAUUGUUUAGAUCACGCCCUUUAAUUGAAAAGUCCAAAAUAUCAUUUCCUCUUUUGUACUAAACCAGUUAUCAAGCACCUCUCCUUUGUAUUCUUCUUCAUCUUCAUGCACCUGUUCUCCUAAAAUCAAUGAUCAUCCUUGAUCCUCUACUUGUGUUUCUCCUCGUAGUGGCACCCCUUUCUCUUCGGUCAUGGCGAGUUAUGUCAAUUCCAUAUUGCUAAAAAUGUUAGAGCAAUACGGGAUUUAUGUGAGUCUCAUGGAGGAAUGGGGCAACAUCUUGGAUGCUUGGUUAUGAGUUUAUAUCUUCUUCUAAUGAGUUUGCGUAUGACCAACCAUUGGACGAAUUUGAAGAUAUUUGCUCACAUUUUCCUUUAUUCAUUGAUUAUUUGAAGAAUACAUGAUUAUACCACAUUAGGAGAAUUUGUUAUGACAUGGAUAUAUCAAGUGAUGCACCUUGGAAAUACAACAACAAAUAGAUUUAUUUUUGUUUGCAUAUUAAUUUGACCUUAAGAAAUAAUUUCAAAGUAUUUAUUGUGAUUUCAAUGUACAAUUGAGAGAUAGCAUAAGAAACUUGUGUAGUUAUUGUGAUUUCAAUGUACAACAUGAUCAAAUUGAAAGGAUUUGUGUAACUAGGAGAAAUUUCUGUUGUGAAAAGAAACUCUUAUACUUAAUAGAAAAUUGUUUUUGUUGUGUAUUUCAUCUAGAUACACAAUGAAAACAUAUUUAUGUUGUGUGCACUUACUCACAAAACAAAUUACUUUCGUAAGAAAAAAUAAUACUAACAUGGCGGGGGUUUAAAUAGAAAUAAGGGAGUGCAACAACCCCACAACUUAUUAUUCUUUUUUUAAAUUGUGCACUUUCUAGAUUGUUUUGGGCCUUCUUGUUUUUAUUUGGGUUUGCUAGCUAGGCUAUUGCAUCUUGCACCUCCCAUUGCAUUCCAAAAAUCUCAUUUUAGAAUAGAAAUUACCAUUUUGAAUGGGCUUUUCAAAAUGCAAUGUGAAGUACAAGAUACAAUAGUAGGAGUGCAGAAAACAAAUGUUAGGUUGCUAUAGCCCCUAUAGAUUUGCUAUUGGCUCCUACCACCAUUCAAUUUUUUUAACAAAACCCUUUCUUGCAUUGCAAAAUGGAAUCGCGAUUCCAUUGUACAUCGUUCAACAAAAUUGUGAUUUUGUUAUACAUUUUUUUUGCACCCCCAAAGUGCAACAAAAUUCUGUUGGGUGGAAAAUAUGCACAACAUAAUCACGAUCCAUUGUGCAAGUGGGGGUCAAUAAAGCAUGAACAAAGGAAGUAUGAUUCCGUUGCACAGCGUAUAAUAGAAUCAUACUUUUGUUGGGCCUUUUGUUUUCUUGAAAAAAUAUAUAACAGAAUCACAAUUCUAUUGUAUAUUUUUUAUUUUGGUUUUUUAAUGUUUUGACAAAUAGGUAUCACAGAUGAAAAUAACUUAUGUAUUAAAUCAAAUUUCAUAGAAGUUUCUUUUACAUAUUGAGAUACGCAUCCAUAAAAUUAAUUGGAUAUACAUUCAACAUUUAAAAUUAUUUUAAUCCAUAGAAAUGUGUACUACAUAUUGAGAUCCUUUACUUGAAUGAAAUUGUAUUGAGUUGAAAGCUUGCAUGCGUUUCAUGUAAGGCUUUUGUCACAAAUGGGUUUUGGGUGUGAAGUAUCUUUUUUACUGUGGUAAAACAAGAGGAAAUGAACAAUUAUCUUUUAAAAAAAAGUUAUAUUAUCAUAGAAAAGAUGAACUGAGCGAAUAAAUCAAUAUUAGCUUACAAAAGUAAAUGAUAUCUUUAGUGAAUAAUACAUACAUGCACAAAGUAAUUUCCAUUGACAAAUCCAAUUGUAACGAGACAAGGAGCAGAUGGUGUGGGAUUCCUAAUUAAGUGGAAAGAAGGUUCAACUUUGCAGCCUAGAUAAGUGGGCCAAUGCAACAUUAUACCGCUAAUAAUGACAUAACCCAUGUCAGGAAUGGUCAUCCACUUCGCAGUGGGUAUUGAACCACUUUCAACAUACAAGAGGUUAUUAAUUUCAAUAGUCUUUCUUCUGAGCCAAGUAAUUCAACAUAGAGAAGGUGUCAUAUUUGAAGUUCUCAAAUCAAAUCUUGGCAACGAGAGACCAAGAGUCCCUACCUUGGCUUAACAAAGCUGCAAUUAUCUUGUAAUUACAAUUUCCAUUCGGUGUGACAUCAACAAUGUUUAGAAUGUAUUGUUGCAACUCAUUAGAAAAUCCAUUCACAUAAUGAUCCAUUUUUGUCUUCUUGUUUUCAUGGCCAACUUGUGAGCCACACUUAGAGUUCUCGAACUACCAAUCAUCGUGUUCAUUUCAUCAACGUGCUCCCACAUUGAAGGUUCACGUUUGAUAUAUUUCACAAACUUCGAUGCACCUUUUUUAGAGUUCCUGAACUACCAAUCAUCGUGUUUAUUUCAUCAACGUGCUCCCACAUUGAAGGUUCACGUUUGAUAGAGAUCACAAACUUCGAUGCACCUUUUUUUUUUACUUUCUCUUGAGGGGGACACAUUGAAGUGGUAUUUGAAAAUGUAAAUUCACAGAAUUUAAUCUUUAAGGUCAUUUUACCACACACGUAUAGUUGUGAAAAUAUCUUAAACAAAGCAUCGACCUUAUGUGUCAGGGUUAAGUCCCCCUAAGAGUCACCCUUAUUUUAUAAACUAUGAAUGGAUAACAUCUUCCAAUGUACAUGGAUGCACUUCAAGGGAAUAAAGCCAUAUAUACUGAUAAAUUCAACAAGUUCACAAGCACAUGGUAGACCUGAGUAACUUUAAGUGUGUAGCCACAAGCAUAAUUGUCAAUACCUAUAGUGUCAACCUGUUGCAACUCAUGGAAAAUGAUGUCUUAUGCUUCUCUUUAUACAUAGAUGCACAAAUUCUUAUAUAUUAGGGUAUCAAACCUAUGCUUAACCAUAUUUAUGUUUUUCUGAAGCAAAGCUUUAAUUGUCAUACGUUGCAAGACAAACAUCUUAUUCAUUGCAUCCCAACAACUACACAAAUCUCUUAUGCUAUCUCAAAGCAACUGCUUCAAUCUCGCAUGUAUGCCUUCAACCCUAAUAUGCAACAAAAAUGAAAUGUAAGAAAUUAUGCAAUUAACAAAAUGAAAUGUUAAAAAUGGCUAAUUUCAAUGAAUUUAUCUACCUAUUUGUUGUUGUGUUGCCAAGAUACAUGACCCAAUAAACCCAUGCUUGUACAAACUUCUCCUUAAAAGGCAUAAACCAUGCGUUUUGGACAUACUCUACAAAUACUUUAUAACAUAUGCACUUGUUUGUAAAGCUUUUCAAGCGUUCGUUAUAUGAUUUUUCAUCUGGAGAUUGGAGCAAUAGCUCCUAAGCAUCCAUUUCAUUUUGCCACUCUCUAGCCUUAUCCAAAUGGAUUUUUCAUUUUGUGCUGACAUUUUUUGUAAUAAAAUAAACAUAAAAAGUUGGUUGAAGAAGGAAGCACAGUCUCCAAUGCAUUAAAUGAAAGCAAGAUCCCUAUAACUGACAAAAAGCUGAAGCAACAAAGCAUUUUUCUUACACAAUCCUUUCACCUUACUUAAAGCCCAUUCAAAAUUAUCUACUUUCUCAUAAAUUAAAUAAACAAAGGCAAUAACAAAAGUCAUGUUUUUUUUGAAGUGAUAUCAACAAUUUCUAACAAUGGAAGAUGAUAUCUAUUUGACUUGUAAGUCGUAUCGCCAAUCAUUAUUGUUGGGAAUGAAUUUAGGAGUUUGAUGGAAUCUAAAUGUGUCCAUAAUGUAUCUUUGUCGACAUCUUCAUUGUCUAAUUGUCUAAACUAGGUAUGAUAAUCGGUAGGGUUUUAGGUAGGGUCCUAUAGUACUCGUCCCCAUACUCAUGUUCUGAAAAAAUCCCCAUAGUCGGCCCUAUACAUGCUGAGGUAGCAACUUUAAUCCUCAUACCCAUUGGGUACCUAUAUACCUAUACCUGUACCCGAGACCCACACUUUACUUAUGAUAUAAAGUUAAUAAAUCAAUAUAAAAAUUAAUCAAAAAAAUUACUAAAAAUUCAAAAUGCAUUCUUAAAUUUAAAAAAUAAAACAUUAAGAACAUGUUCACACAAUAUUAAAAACAAAUAAGCAUAGCACUGAUUCAUCAAAACUCAAGUCAUAAAUAAACAACAUUACAAAUAUAAUAAUCCAACAUAACAUGAUUCUUAAAGUUAAUGCUUUAUUUGCUUAACAAAAACACUAAUUAAACUUGGACAUCAUGUGGUGAUAAUACUCUCCAAGACUAGUAAAAAAAUAGUAAAACUAAUUAGCUCAUAAUUAUAUAUUAUAAAUUAAAAAAACACAAACAAAUAGGAUAUUUGACCUCAUCAUAAAAAUCAACUUCUCCAUAUUUUUGUAAGAACCUAUCUCCAAAUUCUAUAUAUUGCUUUGAUCCCCCAAUACCAAUAGAAACUAGAACAUGACAAAAAGACAAAUGCAUUAGACCUAUCACAAAUGUUAAAUAAAACUAUCAAUAGAAGACAAAACAACAAUUGAAUAAACAAAAGAAUGUAAUUUUUAUUACCUUGUUGCUUAUGUUUCAUUUAGCUUUGUGCACACAUAAGUGCCUCCAAAGUAAACUCAUGAAGCCUAGAACGAUGAGGACUCAAUAACCUACCUCCCAUGUUGAAAGUAGAUUCUAAAGCAACAAUUGAAAUUAUAUUGUCAAAACAUCCUUAGUAGUUUUCUGCAUAAUUGGAUAUUUGAUCCCAUUUGUUUUCCACCAUCAAAGAAUGUCAAAAUUAGCACUCAUAAGCAAACCUUUCUCAUCCAAGUAGAGAUCUAGUUCAUACAUUGUUUGUAUCUUAAUUGUUUUAUUCUCAAAUGAGUCAUAGUCACUAAGGAAAUUGCUAACUUCUAGAUUAUCCAAGUUUGACUCAAUAUCAUUUUCAUGUGAAGUUGAAUUUUCCAUUAUUCCCUUUGUCUUAAUAUGGUACUCUUCAAAUAAUGAGUAACACAACUUCCUGAUAUUGUUCAUUUCAAUUGAAGAUGAACUUCCAUAAAGCUUAGAGAAAAAGUACUCCAAUAACUUAAAUUUGUAUCUUGGAUUUAAAAUAAUAACAAUUCCUAUAAUUCCAUGAAUAACAUACCAAUAUUUCUCAAAUUUGGCAACCACUUUUGAAGCCAUAUUUUUAAUAGCUACAAUUGGACAAAUUUGCCACUGCUACAAAGAGAGCUAAAUUUGUUUUGUCAAAGGGAAGGAUGCCUUGGUUGUUUGAUAUAGUGUCCCAGAAAACAUUUCAGUUACACGAUUAAAAACUUCCAACCUACUACAUAUCUCUCUUGCAAUUUCUCACUCAUCUAAUGUAGGCAAGCAUGUAUAUAACUAUUAUCUUGUUUUCAAACAAUUAAAACACCUUUGUAAGCCAAUGCAACAACAAGCAUGUGAUAAGUGGAAUUCCAUCUAGUUUUGCAUUGAAGAAUGAGUUUCUUUGUGACAGAAACUUUGAUUUGACGUUCCCUAAAGGUUUUGUUGGUUCUAGUUAUAAAUUUUGCUACUCUUAAUCUGCACAAGAUCAAAAAACAAGAAAAACACAGAAAACACAGCAAAGCAAUACACAACAGAGCAAGAACCCAAAGAUUUACGUGGUUCGAUAAUGUGCCUACAUCCACGGGAAAACGCAGCUCAUCAUCAUCACAUAGAUCAUGAAAUUACAAGUUCAAUACAAGCAGCAGCUAGCUUUGAUCUCUCUUGGUUUCUCUUUCAACAAAACCUCUCUCAAUCACCUAGCUCACUACCUCCCUUUUUGAACUCUCUGAUUUCUGCAGUUUUUCAGCUUCUCUAUUUUUCAGCCACUCUCAUAAAAAAAACCACACACUGCAUUACAUGAUCAAGAAUAUAUAUGUACACUCUAGCUAUGCUUUGGUGCCAAAACCAAUUCAGUUAUAAUAACUGAAAAAAGUUAUGACAACACCAAUUUAAAGUCUUUUCACUUGUGCCAUUUGUGAUUUUGAGUCACACACCACAAAUCUCCACCUUGACUCUAAAUCAACAAGUGUCUACCUUGUGAUUCAGGGCUGCACUUCUACCAAUCUGCUUUAGGCAUCUUCAAAAUUUAUCAAAUCCAAGAAGUGCUUGAACUUGACACUAGAGAGGGACUUUGUGAACAUAUCAGCCGGGUUUUCUUCUAUUGAAACCUUCUCCACCUUCACCUUCUUAGAUUCAAUCACAUCUCUGAUGAAGUGUAGUUUCACAUCUAUGUGUUUUGUCCUCUCAUGGUACAUUUGGUGAUUUGCUAAGUGAAUGGCACUUUGACUGUCACAAUGAAUUGUGACACAAGUUUGUGCUAUUCCAAGUUCAUUAAUCAUACCUUUAAGCUAGAUUGCUUCCUUCACUCCUUCAACUAGGGCCAUGUAUUCUGCUUCAGUUGUUGAAAGAGCAACAACUGAUUGUUGAUUUGAUUUCCAACUGAUUGUUGUCCCAAACAAAGUAAACACAUAUCCUAUUAAGGACUUCCUUGUGUCUACAUUUCCUGCAAAAUCUGCAUCUACAUAGCCUGUGACUACUGCCUCGUGUGCUGUCUUCUUGUACCUUAAACCAGUUUUCAAAGAUCCAUUUAGAUACCUUAGUGUCCACUUCACAGCUUCCCAAUGUGCGCUGCCAGGAUCUCCCAUGAAUCUGCUUAUAAUACUUACAGCAUGAGCUAAGUCAGGUCUGCUGCAAACCAUUCCAUACAUUAUGCUUCCAACACCACUAGCAUAGGGUGUUUGAUCCAUUUUAGAACUUUCUUAAGCUGUUUCUGGUGCUUGAAUAACAUAUAGCUUUGUAUGAUGACCAAGUGGUGUGCUAACAGGUUUGCUUUGAUGCAUCCUAAACCUUUCCACCACUUUCUUGAGGUAGUUGCUUUGGGACAAGAAUAGUUCACCCUUUGCCCUGUCCCUAUGAAUAUCAAUUCCGAGUAUCCUUCUAGCUGACCCUUUGCCCUGUCCCUAUGAAUAUCAAUUCCGAGUAUCUUUCAUCUCAAAUUUUGUGUUCAAGCUUUCUUUGAGUAUCCUAAUCUCUUCCUUAUCCGCAGUUGCAAUGAGGAUGUCAUCCACAUACAAGAGAAGAUAAAGAACACACACUUUCCCCUUUUUCAGGAUAUAUACACAACUGUCAUAUCUGUUUCUAAUGAAGUCAUAUCUGAUCAAGAACUCAUCAAAUUUGAGAUACCACAUUCGAGGGCUUUGCUUCAGUCCAUACAAAUAUUUUUUCAGCAAGCACACCUUGUUCUCCCCUUCUUCAAAACCUUCCGGCUGGUUCAUGUAAAUGGUUUCCUUUAGAUUUCCAUGGAGAAAAGCUGUUUUAACAUCUAGCUGUUCAAGUUCCAAAUCAUACUAAUUUACCAGACCAAGUAUGAUUCUAAUUGAGCAAUGCUUCACAACUGGUGAAAAAAUCUCAUUGUAAUCAAUUCCUUCAACCUGUGUAAAGCCUUUUGCUACCAAUCUUGCCUUGAAUCUAGGCCUUUCUACUCCUGGAAUGCCUUCUUUCUUCUUGAAGAUCCACUUACAUCCAACAGCCUUCUGCUUCUUGGGUUGAUCCACAAGUAUCCAGGUAUUGUUCUUUCUCAAAGAUUCCAUUUCUUCACUCAUUGCCUGAAGCCACAGCUGGCUGUCUUCACUUUCAAUUGCUUCCCUCUAGGUCUUAGGUUCUGAAUUUUGAAUCUCCUCAACAACACUGAAGGCAUAGCAAAUAAUAUCAGCAUGACCAUACCUCCUUGGAGGCUUUAUCACCCUUUUUUCUCUAUCUCUAGUCAAUUGAUAAUUGGACAAGUCAUGCUGAGUAACCAACUCUUCAUUAUCUCUAGCUUCUCCUUGAUUAGUGUGAUCAAUAACAUUUCCACUAUCAUGAUCUGAAAUCUCAGAAUGCUCCAUCUCAAAAUUGGUAUUCUCACUACUUGAGCUGUUAUCCUUCUUCUCCUUACUCAGCAUUACCAUUUUGCUCUCAUAAAAGGUUACAUCCCUGCUGAUGAUGCAUCCUGUCAUCAGCUCUUGUUCUUCUUUCAAGUCAAACGCUUCGAGGAUUGCAAUUUGAGGACUUGCUUGGUGCCCCUGCUGAAUUGAUUAGGAGGGGAAAGCAUGGAAGCCUCUACAAGGUUAUGCUCGAUAAUGGGGUGCUGUUGGCAGUGAAGAGGAUCAAGGAUUGGGGGAUUUCCAAGCAAGAUUUUGAGAGAAGGAUGAAUUUGAUAGCCCAAGUGAAGCAUCCACGCGUAUUGCCACCCGUUGCAUACUAUUGCUCUCAGCAAGAGAAGCUCCUAGCAUAUAAAUAUCUGCAGAAUGGUAGUCUCUUCAUGUUGCUCUAUGGUAAGUUGUAAGCAAAGUAAGGUGUCAUUACAUUCAUUUGAUAUGGAAAGUAGUUAAUAAGCUAUGGUACUUUGUUUGACAUACUAAUGCAUAUCACAUAAGUAGUCACUGCUAAACGGAAGAACUAUUAAACUAGGAAAAAGGUGUCUUACUACCUAUGAUAAUGAGAACACAAAUUUGCUUACCAUCUAAAUGAUAUUUUCUAAUACAUUACUAAUAAUUAGUUUUCCUAAUAUGACACUUAUUUUCUUUUGGCCAAAACUUCGAUGUAGUUCUUUAGAUACUUCUGGUGUUGUUUUCCAAUCAAAAUUAAAAUUUUCAUCUCUAUAAUCACCGUAGUAAAAGUUUGUAUUAAAAGUCAACAUAUAUUAUAGAGAUGAAACUCUUUAGGACUUGUAUAUAAGUUUUUCCUUUCCUUUUAUGGGAUAUCUCUAGGUCUUCAAUUUGAAUUUUUUAAGGCCCAAGAGCAGUUUUCAGUGGAACUAGGGUCUGCAAUGAAAUGUAGCCUAGAAAGAAUAAAUCUAACCAUAUGUUUGUCUUCACUUUUAAUGGUUUUAGGAUCUCAAAGUGGCCACUCUUUUGACUGGGGAAGCAGACUAAAUGUUGCUGCUAAGAUAGCUGAGGCUUUGGCAUAUGUGCAUGAGGAGUUUCUUGAGAAUGGAAUAGCACAUGGUAACUUAAAGUCAAGUAACAUUCUGUUUGUCCAUUCUCACAACAAAGGUCUCAAAAGCAAAGAUCUAAUUGCAUCCAUCUUCAAAGCUGAUGUACAUGCCUUUGGUUCGAUACUUCUCGAGCUGCUGACAGGGAAAGUAAUUAAAAAUGAUGGAUUUGAUCUAGUCAAAUGGGUGAAUUCAGUGGUCAGAGAGGAAUGGACUUUUGAAGUUUUCGACAAGUCCCUAAUCUCACGAGGUGCUUCUGAAGAGAGAAUGAUGAGUUUGUUGCAGGUAGCACUAAAAUGCGUUAAUCCUUCUCCCAAUGAUAGGCCAAGUAUGAGCCAAGUUGCAGAGAUGACAAAUUCUUUGAUAGAGGAGGAAGAAAAAUCCAUAUCCUUUGACACAUGACCCAAAGUUUAGUUAUAUACUUCUACGCAUCAGAUUAAAAAAUAAAAUAAAACAACUUCUUUCAGGAAGCAUGUAUUAAUCCAAACUACUCUAAUUUUAGUUUAGUUUCGUGCAAAUCACGAUCAGAACACAUGAAAAUGGUAAAUUAUCUGGAGAUUGGUUGUAACUUGUAAUUUCAAUUAGCAAGAGUAUCUUUUCUUCUAGAGUAUAGGCAGCUUUUACAUUUCUAGACCUUAUCUAUCAUUACUGUUCUGCAUAACCGCAUCUCUGCAAUGAAAUUUGUGAUUUUUUUUUAACAUAAUUCCAUGUCUCACAUACCGAGCCAAGCUGCAUGUUACUUCAACAUUUAUUAUGCUAACAACAUGAUCUUACAAAGUUACUUUAUUUAUGGGCAAAACCAGCGACUACAAUUACAGAGGUAAAAAAAACAAGCAAAAUUUAGAACUCAAGCAAGCUCUAAACUAUUGAAUGCAAAGUGGCUUGCAAAUAUUGAAUGCAAGAAAGAAAACACCCGUUAGGAAUCAUUUGCAUGUUGGGGGAGAUAAUGCAUGUUUGGUUUGAAUUGUGUAACGCGGUUAUUCAUGUCAAAUUGGAAGCAGCUCUUUACAAUUUUCACAUUUUAGUGAAACUGGGACCGGUCUUAGUUGAGUAAUUCGGGAGUCUUGACAUUGUUUGGGCUCAAGGUUUAAUAAUAGAUAAGGGUCCUUUAUAUAAAAACUUAAAUAUAUUUUUAAUCUCCGAUAUUUAAAUUUAUUUUUUUUUUCUUCUUCUUAAUUUUUAAAAAUUGAUAUUCUAAGAUCUCUUACCAUAAAAAUCAUCACAAAUUGUACAUUUAAACAAUAAAAAAAUUAAUCAAGAUAGACUAAAAAAAACAUUCUUUAAAUUUGAGAGACUAAAUAAAUUUAAAUUUAGGAGGCAAAAUACAACAAUGACCUAAAUUUAAAUGAUAAAAACCAUUUAAGCCUAUUGUAAAAUAUGAGGUAGGUUUCGAAGUAUCUAACAACUGAAAAAAGUCAUAAAGAGAUAUAAAUGUAUAUUUGAUUCUUAAAUCUUUAUUGACUUGAAAAUUGUAAACGAAAUGAGUUAAUUUGAUUUCUAAUCUAGAAUUACAGUUAAAUAAUAUUUGUGACUUUUCUCCCCCCGAGAUAAACUUUUCUCCCCCCGAGUCAGCCCUUCUAUAGAAUGAGUCAUCAACUCAUCAUUUACGCAUAACUAAAGAAAACAAAGCAGAAGGGGAGAUGUUGCAACUGGUUCAGAAUACUAAUUUUCACGUGCAAUACAUAUGUGGUUAGGCUAUGAUGAAUUGCAGUGGAGGCUUUGAUAAACAUAAAUUGAGCUCUGAAUGAUUCACAUGGAAUCUUGAACAGCUGGGAUGAGUCCUCUGUCGACACUUUGAAUUGGGCAAUGAUCACUUGCUCUUCUGAUUACCUUGGCAUAGGCCUAUUAGUUCCUCUCUCUCUUUUCCUGCUUUUCCUUUCUCACAGCUUCCUCACUUGUUUUUGUUUUACUUUUUGUCUGUGCAGAGGAGUGCCUAGCCAAUUUCUCUCUGGAAGUAUUUUGUUAUGUUUUAUGUGUUGUGGACUGUGGAGUGUUCUCAUAGCGGUUUGGUGGUUGAAUUAAUGCAGGAUGCAGCAGAACAACAAUAUCUCAGGCAAUACACUACCGUAUCAUGGAGCCCUUCUCAAGUUUCAGACUUUAGACCUUUCCCAUAACUGAUUUUCUUGAGUGAUUCUUGCCUGUCAAUUGAAUAGUUUCUAUUACCUGUGAGUGUCUUGAAAAUUGAAACAACUUACCAAUUGUAUAUUUCUAACUAGUGUUAUAUUAUUUCAAAGUUUCAAUUGUGCUUUUUUUGUCUUGAUUCAGUUUUACUUCUGUUUGCUACAGAGAAAUGUUAGGGAUCACAUUCUCUAACACAUUCUUUCAAAUACAAUUUUUCAUUGGUUAAAAUUUAUCGAAAACCACAAAAUUAAGUGGAUUCAGAAUCUUAUUUAAUGGCUCUCUCUUUUAAUUUUAUAAUUUUCAAUAUAUUUUAACCAAUAAAAAAUUGUAGGAAUAAAUAUGUUGAAGAGUAUAUUGCUAGCAUUCAUGUGCUCUAGAUCAUGAGAAGGUACAUCCUUCUAUCUCCAACUCCCUAGUUCCUCGUGUUUUCUUCAUACAACAUUUUUAUUUAAAACACAAGUCCAAAAGGCUAGCAAUAACACUUGUAGUUAGUCAUAGUUGUGCUUCCCUCAUCCUUCUGUUUUUUUUUUGGGGGGCUAUUUUGGUAUAGAAAGAAACAAUGACUUAGAUAAAAGGAUCUCAACUUGUUGACUCUUGUAUCUUAUUUAUUUGGCAGUUUACUAACUAACGCUAGAAAUGUGAGAGUCAGAUUAAAGGAUCCACUUCAUGUAAUCUUGGUUAAUGGGUGUUCUUCAAACAUGUUUAUUAAUUUAUUGAUGGGUGGGCUAUUCACAUUAACUUAUGCUUAAUACAAGAUCAGGGGAAGCUGAAGAAAAUAGCUCUGAUUCGCGUUCCAACGAUGCCUUCUUACAUCCAUAGAUGUACAAGUAUAAUAUUGGUGGAAAUUCUCAAACAUGUAAGUCAAAUGUUUUCAAUGAAGUUACUUAUAUUGGAGAGACUUCCUUAGUAAUUAUCGUCCAAGACUCAGCAGUUGGUAUCAAUUCAAAUGGAGAUGUACAUGGCUUAUGGGAAAUUCGAUUUUAAACGCACCCUUUUGAUUGGUGGAAUGUAUUCUCUUUUCAUUUAUUUAAACACAUCCUUUUUAUGUAUAUUAAGUCUUAAGAAGCAUGAGGCAGUGUGUUGAAAUUUUUGAAAGAAUAUCAUAUUGCUCAGUAUAAACCACAUAGAUUUGCAUGUGUGAUAAUAGAGGGUAAUGAAUAGUAAAUUUAAUAUACUACUAAUAUUAAGAAAUUAAGUAACCAAAAUUAAACAACAAUGGCAUAAAAUAAAGGAGGAAAGAAAGAUACUUUUUGGUUUUGGAAUUUUAUGGAGCCCCUAGCAAGCACAAUAAAUUUGGGAUGAAAUCAAAAAGAGAAAUCAUCGGGGUCUAACUUCAUUAGAUGCUCCCAACAUGUAAUUACUAACUAUUCAUAUUCAAUCAAGAUAUGUUAUCAUCAACCCACAAAAUUAUUCAAGCAUUAAUCCCUUAAGAGAAAGAAGCUAAAUCUCUUGAUUCAACUAUCAAUCUCUUGGAUGAGUGUAACCAAUGUACUUGCAUUAAGAAAAAUGGUUUAUCAAUGACCAAUUCUCUAUACCCGUGUUCAGAGGCAUAAAAAGGAUGGUUUGCCUUAUUCAAUUUGCAAUUAAAAAGAAUUUAUGAAUUACAAUUGAAAUAAUAUGAUCACACAAUUAGUUUGCCUAGACCAAAAACAAACAUUAAGCAUAGAAGAAGAAUAACAAUCUUUAUCGUAUAAGAAUAAAAUAUAAUUACAUGAAUGUAGUAGUCUAAUUACAUUAAACCCCAACAAGAAUGAAAUUAGCUAAUCACAACCAUGGAGAAAGAAAUUUUGAUAAAGAAAAAAUGAGGAAGAGUUGCAAGACAUAGACACCACUAAGAACUUUCUUGUUGACGAAAAAAAAACCCAAGAACUUUCUCUUUUCAUUACAUGUUUAAAAAUAGCAUCUUAUAACAAUUGGGCUUUUUCUUAAAGUGGACUUUCUUCUUAGUAAAGUGAGCUUAAGGCUCACCACUUAGGGGGCAUAAACUUGAAUUAGUUUAAGGGAAUUGCUACGCACACCAUUCAUUUUGCUGGUACACCCAACAUAACAUAUAUAAUUCCCAUAUUGCCCUUUUGUAAUUGGUUUGCAAUGCAAGAUAUGCAUACCAUUCUUUCAUAAGAGACAAUAAUACUUGUAACAGCCGUAACUUUAAUAAGUAAAUAAGAAAAUAAUAAAUUAAUACAUAAAUAAAUAAGAAAAAAUAAAAUAAAAAUUAUUAGGUCAUAAAUUCCCACUAUAUAAGCCAAAUGUUAACCUAGAGCAGCUUUUUGGAAAACACAUUCUGUUCCUUUCUUCUUUUCUGACGCACAAGAACCCUAACAGAGCAAUCAGAGGAGGAGCUCUAGAGAGCACCAGAGACGCCACCAUUGCUAACAGAGAACAUUUAAGCGACUACCUCGAGGUAAGGGAUGAGUUACUCACGCUUGGGGAUUAGAAUGAACAUGUGUAGGGAUUCCUAGAGGAUCAAUUUUUGGGUUAUUUUGGGGUGUUUAUGAAUUUAAUUAUGUUUUCAUGUUUAAUCGCGGAUUGAGUGUGUUUGAUGAACCAAUUGGUGUUCUGUUGCGAGUUUGUUGUAGAAUUGAUGUGUUCUGAUGCGAGUUUGUUGUAGGAUUGAUGUGUUUCUGUGUUAGGUGUGUACCUUAGGAAUUAUAAUUCUUUAUAAUUAGCAUAAAAAUUGUGUGGUGGUGAUUUUGUUUAUACCAGAUAUGUUGGCCUUUCAAUCUUGUUCCUGUGCUAAUGUAUAUUGUGUCCAAAUAAUUAUUUUUACACCGCAGUGUAUACGUGUACAUAUAUAUUGAUACUGUUUUUUUUUUACAAACUGUAUAUUUUAUUUCACGUGGGUGAUUUCUUGUCAUGAAAUUCAUAGGUGUAGGGAUUGUUGGAUAAUUGAAUUGGCUAAAAUCAUUUAAAGAAAUUAACUAAAGUUGUAUUCACAUUGUAAUUAGGCAUUUUCUUGAUGUUAGUAACUUAGUUGAAAUAUAUUUAAAAUAUAGGUAUACAUGUUGUUCAUAGAAAUCAAUAUGAGUAUAUAUUUUAUUGUUAUAUAUAAUUUGUAUUUACUUAAUAAUAUAUUUGAUAUUAUUGUGAUUACUUUAUAUUAAUAUAUAAUUAAUACUUUUUAUAUGUUAUAUAUAAUAUGUACAUUUACGUUUACGUUAAUAUAUAUUUUGUUAUACAUUUUGAAUAUAAUAUACUUAUAUAUAUAUUUUACGUGUAUUUUAUAGUUACUUGUUUAUAAGCCUUGAAGUUAAAUAUUGUAUGUUAUUAUUAUUAUGAUACAUUGUUAUCUAAUUGUUGAGUAUAUUUUGUAAUUAGUUAGAGUGUGAAAUGUUAAACUGUAGACAUGAAACAUGGUUGUGAAUGAGUGUGUGAUUGAUAUUUGUAGUGAUAUUACUUGUCAUGUGAGUUAUGAGUUAUACAGUAACCCGCCCAGUGUGUACCUUGAGAGAACUUUUAUGCGCAAUGUUAAAGAAAAUUGUAGGAUUCCUAGUUAGGAUCCUGAAGGGUUAAACUAUGGCACAAUUUGUUAAAUAUGUUUGAAAUAUAAGAGUAAGGUCGUGGGUAUGAUAUAACUCAUAAACAGUGUCUGCGUGCAAAUAAAAAAAAUAUUUUAGGGGUUGGACCUGAAUCAGGAAGGUGAGGCCCAAACGGAUUCUUCGGAGUCUAGGCCUUGGGGGUAAAGAUACUCGGUUUGAGUGCUCCUUUAAGCCCAUGUUGAUCCCAUGUGGUUGGGGCAUUCUCGCAAAACAGAGUAACCAUGACUGGUCACCUUAUGAUGUUACUUAGUGAGAGUGACCGAGUAUACCCAUUGUGUGGUGUGCUUUAUCAUGUACUCCUAAGCGCCCCAGUGUUGUUUUUCACUGACAUGGUACCACAUUGCAUAUAGGCUUGAGUCUUAGUAUAAUUGUUGCAUAACGCUUGUGUUUGAAUUUCAUUGAGUUAACAAUUGUGGUUGAUGUUAUUUUAUGGAGUGUGUAAACUUGAAUGGGUGUGAAUAAUGUGUGCGAUUUUGUGCAGUAAUGCUAUUUAUAUAAAUUCAGCUUUAAGUAUUAUAUGUUUCACAUGCUCUAAUGUUUUAUUAUAUACGAAUGUGAUAACUCACUCCCGGUGUGUGUUUGUGUUUGGGCUGAUUGCCACUUUGUUUUAGGUGAGCCUUCAUAUGAUGAGUCACAUGCUAGAGAUGGAGAGACUUAGUCUGUGAUAGGGAUUAUGAUUUACUGAAUGAUAUAAUUGCGUUAUACUUUUCUACUUUAGAUUUUUUAUUUAUUUAGAGUGGACGGCCUUGUUUUGAGCCGGGAUAAUCUUAUCUUUUAUUAAAAAAAGUAAUAUUCUAUUAUGUUUUCACUAAGUGGAUGUGAACCUUUAUCCUUUUGAAUUGAUUAAAUUAAAUGCGUUUAAAAAGAAAAAUUAUUAAUUAAUUUUGCAUGUUUUUUUUUCCUUCUUUUAUUAUUAUGUGUUUAUAAUCUUUUAAUUAAAUUUUGUAUGAUUUAUUUAAUUAGUUAGUUAUAAUUGUAAGGGUAGAGGGUGUCACAAUACUAAAAUACAACAACUAAUGAAGCUUCUUGAAUGAAAUCAGCAUAUUCAUUGACAUAGAUUGAAUGAUGAAGAUGUUGUACGUGAUAUAUUUUGGAGUCAUCCUGAUAUAGUCAAAUUAUCCAAUGUUUGUAAUUUGGUAUUUCUCAUAGAUAGUACCUACAAAACAAACAGGUACAGGUUGUUGUUACUUGACAUUGUUGGUGUAACCCCAACAAGGAUGAUUUAGCAUUGAUGAAUGCAGUGUAAACUAUUUUUCCUGAUACUACAAAUUUGUUGUGUCGAUUUCACAUUGAUAAGAAUGUGAAGGCAAAUUGUAAAACUUUGGUUGGUCCAAAACAUGCAUGGGAUUAUGUCAUGGAAGCCUGGAGGAGUUUGGUGGAUUGUACUUCUGAGCAAGAGUUCGAUGAGUGCCUUUUGAAGUUUGAAAUUGCUUGCUCACCAUGGUCAAUGUUUGUUGACUAUGUCAAGCAAACAUGGUUGAUUUCUCAUAAAGAAAGAUUUGUUAAAGCUCGGACGAAUAAGCUAGGUGAUGCAUUUAGGAAACACAACAACUAACAAGUAUGAAAGUUGUAAAUAUUUAUUGUUGUUAGGGUUUAGGAUCUAACAGAUAAAAAUAAUUGUUUUUGUUUACUUGUUUGUGUAUUUCAAAUGCAAGUUUGAGUCUUCUCAUUGGGCCUUAAAGAGACAACUGUAGAAUAGCCUUGGAGACCUAUGUAGUGUUUGAGAAGCCAUGAACAACAUGAUCACACUGCAACACAUAGAAAUUAAGGCAUAUUCUGAGACAUGUACACAUGUGGUUGGACAUGUUCUUAAAGUUACCUUACAUAAGAAACUACUUGGCAUGGUAUCAAUGUAUGCUUUAAAUCAGAUUGUUGCAGAGUUUGAGCGUGUAAGUAGAAUGCAGUAGUGAAGGAUUGAACACACUUUGUUGAUGAGGUUGACAACACACUUUGUUGAUUUAGGGGAAGAUUGAACAUUUAGUUAUUGUUAAGACAAUAUUUGUAAUGUACAUAGUUGUGACAUACUUACGGGGUUAUCAUGUAAUAUGAUAAUUAACGCGUGUUUCAUUGGACAUUCAUAUAAUUAUUUAUUUUACUUAAUUAUCGACAAUGCAAAUAAUCAUAUUAGAAAAAAAAACAUCAAACGGUAUAUAAUUAUUUAUGUUUUAGGAUUUUUAUUUAGGGUUAUUAGAAAUUAAAUUGAAUUAGGAUUUAGGAUUUAGGGUUUUAGUUUUGACGAAUUAUGUAUUUUGGGAUGCGGGAUUAAAUAAUUUGGUUUAAGGUUUAACAUAAUAAUCUACUUAGGUCAAUAAUUUAAUAUUCACAUACUACAUAAACGAAAAUAAAUAAAAAGCUUAACAAAUAACACUAAAUAACAAACAUUGUUCAGUCAUAUUGCAUACAUAAAUCCUAUGAAACCUAAAAAAUCCUAACAAUCUUCAUGUGUCUAGUGUACGCCGCCUUCAUCUCGAUCAAACAUAUACAUUGCCUUACGCAGUCACACCCCUGGCGAUCCUUAGGCCCUCCUCGAUCACAGUGUAUGCUUCAGUUCCUUCAGUGACUAUCCUUAUGUUGAUCAAGCAUUCCAACCUUUAUGUUAUUGCAUGACAAGCCUCCUAUGACAUUGACAACAAGCUAAACAGUAAAAAUUUAAUGCAUGACACAUAAAAUGACUACAACAGUGAGAAUUCAAAAUAUUUUAUACCAAUGCAUGUCGAGGCAUGUCUACAUCAACAAGUGUAGCUGCAAGUGGUUUUGGCAUAGAUGUUGUGGCGACCGGUUGCUGAGGAGGAUCUGGUUCAAUAAAUGUAUCAUCGUGAACCAUAGGUGGAUGUCUAGGAGGAUCCCUAGGCUGUGUCGGACUCAUGAAGGAAUGAGAUAUCAUGUAAAACCACUCCAUGUAGUCUACUGCACACUAUCCUGGAGCAACACAAAUUUGACCCACUAGUGCAAGGUAUUCAAAAAAGUGCAUCCAUCUAUCGUCAAUCUCCUUUAUAAAUAAAUAUGGGGCAGCAGAGGUUGGAGGAAUGGUUUGCACAUAACCAAACUAUCGCACAAUCCUCUAUGGUUGGUGUAUGACAAUAGAUGAACCCAUCUGAUUUGUCCACAAAAUAAUGAGAUCAACUCAAAAUUCUCUGAAUGCACGGUGGUCACCAUAAGGAAUCUAGCACAUAGCAUCGGAUGUCAAUCUAUCCAACCGCUUAUGAUACAUCGACAUUGUUAAUGCCUUCCCAGACUUCCAACGGCAUGCACAUAGUUUUCUCUCAUGAUAAUCUUCAUCAGCAAAGUAAUGGCUUACACCAUAUAUUAGUAGAAUGCAAUAGUGGUAAUCUGUAUGGAUUAUAUGGAUUGUUAAACCUUAUAAUCCAUAAGAAUUUCUAAUCCGUAUGCAUUGUACGGAUUGUUAAUCCUUAUAAUGACUACACAAUCCCAUUUUCAAUGAAGAGUGGAAAAGAGGAACUUACGACAAAGGCGAACGCGACAACGGUGGUGGGGACUGGCGACAAGGCAUGAAUGGAGGCACGAAUGGCAACGGUAGGAACAACAUAUUGAGAAAAAAAACCCAAGUCCCACAUUGACUAGAGAUAGUGUCAAGAUAGAGUAUAUAAGGUGAGGGCAAUCCUCACCCUGUGAGCUAGCUUUUAGGGUUGAAUUAGGCUCCAGUUUUCUACUUAGCAUCAGAGCCUAUCCUAGAUCUAUUGAAAGGACCACACACCAAGCCCAAAAAGUGUUGGGCGUGAGGGGGUGUAUUGAGAAAAAAACCCAAGUCCCACAUUGACUAGAGAUAGUGUCAAGAUAAAGUAUAUAAGGUGAGGACAAUCCUCACCCUGUGUGCUUGGAUUUUUUUUUUUCAACGCGUACAAACAGGGAGAGGAAAGGGUGACCUUAUUAAAAUUUUAAGUGAAAGAGAAUUUCGUCACUUCACUUAAAAUAUUGGAUACACAAGAAAUUGUGUUGGAUGCACCUAACAAAACUCUUCAUUUUUUUUCUUCCGGUGUAGGCUUAAGGUGGUGGGCUUAAAAAUUUUUGUUAGGAAAUCCCAUAAUCUUUUUUUUCUUCUACAUUGAUGACAAUGCUUUUCAACUCUUUUUCAAUUGAGUCUUUCAAUAAUUCCCUUACAAAAUAUAAACAAAUAAUCCAAUAUCAUAUCAAGCAUAAAAGUGAAAAACAGAACAUCCUAAUUAAACUAAUUAACUUUAUCUAAAAGAUAGGUUGUUUUCAUUUUUAUAAGAUGACAACUGGUAACAUUUAAAUAAUUCUAUUAAACAUGUGUUUUAAUACUUUGAUUUCUUUAAAUACGUAAAUAAAAAAUUAAAAUAUAUCAAUUUAACUUUUGAUAAAAGUGAUUAAGAUCACAAUACAUAUGUCAUUAAACACAUUGCAAUACUUAUUUUAUAUAAUAAUAUUAGAUUAUUUCCCGUUAGAAAAACAAGACCAUGAAUUGAUUCAUACAAAGUAAACCAAAUCUAGUUAAAAUAUUAUGGAAAUAAGUGUGAAUCAACAAUCCAAGCAUCGAUCACCAGUUUAACUAAAGGCAUGUUUAGAACUAACGAAUAACGACAAUAUAUAUUGUUGUUACCGUAUAUUUAUGUCAUUCUAGUUAUUUACUCAUGACCUGUUAGCUUUAUGAUACUAUUAUUUCUUACUAUAUUAAUAUUUCCCUUUUUUAUAUUUUGAUUUUCCAUGUAAGUAUUUGUUUAUCAGGGGUCUCUCUUUGCAACUAACACACACCUAUUACUAAAAUGUAGGUUCAGUAAAGGUAGUUUUGAAAAGAAAAGUCGCAUAACAUGGUUACAUUAAUACAUAUGUAAUACAUCACAACAACAUAAUCACUACAUUAUGAUGCCAUUAAGGUAGAUCACAAUUUCAAACAUAGAGAAAUACAUUGUAGGCUGAUAUAGUACAUCAGAUGCAAUAUGGAAAUGCCUACUUAUUUAAGGACACACUAACAAAUAAAGACUUAAGUAACCUAUUUGGCAAACCAGAGAAGGUGGCCCUCAGGGAAGAUGUGACACACUGGAGCAGCUCCAGGCUUGGUUUUAAGCAUUUGUAAAAACACAUGGUUUGGAUCCCAUUCUGAUGUGUCUUUGUGGCAUACAGCUGCAGCUUUAACUCUGGUUCCAUCUUCUCCCUCCAAAGGCAUAAAAUGCGCAGUAGUAUUUGAUAUCUCAUGACACAUAAACACAACAUAUGGGUAAUCCAUAGGAUGACAAACAAUGACCUUAUCUUCUGCUAACAACUUCACUCCAUCUUUCACCGAGAAUUUUUGGGACUUACUUUCCUUUUCUGCUUCUGUAGAAAUAACUCGAGCAUUCUUCCCAAGCUUAGAAGUGACAAAAUCUACCAUGGACUCUAAUGAAGUUGCACAAUAUCUUUCUUCUCCAGUUAUUGCAGGCACUUCACACAUACUAAUGGUUUCCUCUAGAAUCUUAACAUUCUCUGGCUCUGGGUUCACAAAAAGCAUCUCAACUAUUUCUUUUAUCUUUGCUGAUGACAACGGUAUAUGUUGUGCAAUUUGGCGAGGCAACAAUGGGGUUACAUUUUCUCUUUUCUUGAAGUGAGCAUCCAAUUUUGUGCCAGGCCUUAAUCCUUCUUCAAAGAAAACUUGGUCUGCUUUUGGGAUGUCAUGUUGAUGACCAUUAGCAACAAGGAUCGUUUCAUCUUCUUGUGAAAGACUUCUUUUUGCAACAUAGGUUUUCUUAACACCGUACCAAAGAGGAGGUUGAUCUUCGGAUUGAGUUUUCUUAAUACCGUACCAAAAAAUAGGAACUUGAUCUUCGGAUUGGGUUUUCUUAGCACCAUAUAAAAAAAGAGGAGUUUGAUCUGUUGAUUGGAUUUUCUUAGCACCAUAAAAGAUAGGAACUUGAUCUGUUGAUUGAGUUUUCUUAGCACCAUAAAAGAUAGGAACUUGAUCUGUUGAUUGGGUUUUCUUAGCACCAUAAAAAAAAGGAGGAACUUGAUCUGUUGAUUGGGUUUUCUUAGCACCAUAAGAAAAAAAAGGAGGAAUUUGAUCUGUUGAUUGGGUUUUCUUAGCACCAUAAGAAAAAAAAGGAGGAAUUUGAUCUGUUGAUUGGGUUUUCUUAGCACCAUAAAAGAUAGGAGGAACUUCAUCUGUUGAUUGGAUUUUCUUAGCACCAUAAAAGUAUGGAGGAACUUCAUCUGUUGAUUGGGUUUUCUUAGCACCAUAAAAGAUAGGAGGAACUCCAUCUAUUGAUUGAGUUUUCUUAGCACCAUAAAAGAUAGGAGGAACUUCAUCUGUUGAUUGGGUUUUCUUAUCACCAUAAAAGAUAGGAGGAACUUGAUCUGUUGAUUGGGUUUUCUUAGCAUCAUACAGGAAUAUUUGAUCUGUAGAUUGGGUUUCCUUAGCAC
Molecule: long non-coding RNA, 26174 nt
Filed under: Glycine max (soybean)
Lineage: Eukaryota; Viridiplantae; Streptophyta; Magnoliopsida; Fabales; Fabaceae
Description: long non-coding RNA (GMAX_LNC000870)
Source: RNAcentral